Small nucleolar RNA from Zingiber officinale, 84 nucleotides. RefSeq annotates it as small nucleolar RNA Z102/R77. The record is from RefSeq and is a predicted model, not a curated record. NCBI's taxonomy places the organism in Eukaryota, Viridiplantae, Streptophyta, Magnoliopsida, Zingiberales, Zingiberaceae. The transcript has a single exon.
GGAUGAGAUGAUGAUGGAUUAUUUCCCUAUUGGUUUGAUAGCCGAUAUGAUGGCUACACCUGUAUUAGCUCUAUCUGAUCGCCU